UUACAGAAGCAUGGGUUUACCCUUAGGAUCAACAUGGUUGCUUUUAAAUCAUUUCUACUAUACUAAAGGGUACUUUUGUCAUUUCAAGGAGCUGAUGAAUAUAAGUACUAUCUAAUAAUUCCACGUGGCGUUAAUUUCUUCUCUCACCGAAUAGUUUUAGCCCAGACAUAGAGGUUCUUCUGUUAGCUUCUCUCUUUGUUAUUCAAUUUGUUCUUCUAGUACUUUCGUUCAAAUUUACAGUCUAAUUUGAACUUAUGGGGCGGAAGACAACGAAUUGAUGUUCAAGCAGACCUACCUAAACUGAGUGGAAAUAUGACCCUUCUUUUCGUCUAAUUGUGAAGAUGGACAUGAAGUUUGGAAGUGUACACCUUUUGGGAAGUCGGAAUAGAUUCAAUGUUCUCUUGAAAAGGUCACCUUAGAUUGAAAACUGGGAUGAAAAGAAAGAACCAAUUUUAAAGGAAACGAAGAAUCUUGGAUAGACAAAGAGGAUUCAUGCCAAGUUGUUCUGGCCUGCCCUCACAUAUGAGGUCUUACAAAGACUAAUGAUCCAAGAAGAUUGGAACUUUUCUUCUCUGCCUUUUGGAGACAGAUUCCAUGAAAGUUCUACAAAUUUUUAACUCCAUGUAUUUGCAGCUAAAUUGAGUAUUUGAUAUCAUACAUGGGUAUCUCAGCCACUGUCAAGCAAGAUGCGUGCACAUCAUUUCAUGUCUUUGAGCUCUGCUCACGAUGACGAUCCCUUGAAAGCUCUAUCUACCACAGAUGUACUUACCGGUUAAGAACAUGGUUAAAUCCAGGUUUCUUUUUAAAUGAGUUGCAAUGAGUCUCUUCCAUAUGGGAAGAGAAUAUUAUAUCACUGCGGGUGACAUGAAACUUGCUCUACCUUGACACCUUAUUAUCCACGACAUAAUGUGCAUGCAAUGCAUCUACACAGAAUGUUAAGAUGUUCCAUUUUAACAUGAGCAACUCCUCUUAUAAAUUAUGGUGGUAUUAGCCAGAAAUCUACAGCUGCUACAAUGAAACAAAAUCUUCUUUGCGAGAUCCCUGUUACAUCUUCUCAUUCAGGUCUUGGUUUAAUUCCGAAACUGUUGCAGCUCCUGUUCAACUGACCAUCUUUUAAUGCGAGACAAUCAUUGUUUAUGAUGAUGUUUCACAGAACUCAGUCUGAGGAUCUACCUGUUUAUUGCUUGUGGCCUGGGAGGCUUGGUUCGGCUGAGCCUGUGGGUAUGGUAUUUUGUCCGAAAUGCAACAGACGCUACCGCUAAACUGGAUUGGUAGCAGAGAAAUUU
Lycium ferocissimum is the source of this 1286-nucleotide long non-coding RNA. RefSeq lists it as uncharacterized. Lineage: Eukaryota; Viridiplantae; Streptophyta; Magnoliopsida; Solanales; Solanaceae. The transcript has 6 exons. The record is from RefSeq and is a predicted model, not a curated record.